GGUGGGGCACGCUUUGAUCAACCACAGAGGGUGACUGGGCAGUUCCUGCAUGAAGGAGGAGCUUGCCUGGAGGUGGGCGGGGCUUCAGAAUGUGCACAUUCUCCCUUUGGGGGAUUUCCUUAAGAUAACAAAUCUCCUAGAAGCUUCUGCUUAGCCUGACAAACAGUUCGGCCCCUAUGGGGUCUAUGUAGGCUGAAUGAAGGCAUUCUUUAUAACCCAGCGACUCCACUCCUGGGAACAUCCCCAGCAGAAACAAGUCCUGUGAUCAUCGGAAGACAUGCACUAGAAUGUUCACAGCAGAAUUAUUCAUCUGGGCUGUAACUGGAAACUACCGAAUGCCUGUCUCGGUAAAUUGCAAAACCAGCCACAGUCCUUUGCAGUCCAUCCCAUGAAGAAGCAGAGUCAAUUUCCUUUCCCCUGGAACCUGGCCUGGUCUUGCAGCUUGCUGUGGCCAAUAGGACACGGCAGAAGUGAUGCGUGCUGGUUCCAAGACUUGGAGAGGUGUUGCACGCUCCCCUUUGCUCUCCGGGAACUCCGCAGUCACCGUGUGAGAAGUCCCGGCUGCCCGGCUGGAGGGUGGGUGAGCUUCCCCAGCUGACGUCUUCCUCGACCAGCCAGCCCCAGCCACGCGGAUGCAGACACGCGAGUGAGCCCAGCCGACAUCAGCCCAGCUCAGCCCGGCCCAGAAGAACCUCCUAGAUGACGCCCGUCGAAAUCUACCAGCCGACGCACGUGCUAAAGAGCCCAUGGGAUUGCAUCUCACGCGGAGGACGGUGUGUAAGGGGAACAUCACAAACAGCCAACACGCCCUGGAAAAUUCCUUGGGAAGCUGUCAUGUGGGGGCCAACUGCUAUCUCUCCAUAAAUCCGGUACGGCCAGUUUUUCCACCCGCGUUGGGACAGAUCACUAUUUCUCCUGUCAGGCUCCAGUCGAAGCAGAGGUUUGUGUGUAGGGGUCACACAGCGAGCUGCAGUAGGCGUUGGACAGAGGCAGGGGCUGGGGCUGCGGAAGAGGGCUGUGAUCACCAGGUCCGGGAAGGAGGGAUUGUCUGGAAUAAAGACGGGCGACCGUGCUCUGCAAGGUGGAACCCCGGGGUGCCGGCAAGGCGCUUAUGGCUUGAGGGUGGGGUAAGGAUGCAGCCUCUCCGGCAGGCUGGCUCUCUCCUUAGCCUCGACAUUCCUUCCUGAACUUGUAGAGUGUCCCGAACCUGGCUGGAGAGUGGAUGGUUCCAGGUACCGCAGGUGG
Molecule: long non-coding RNA, 1245 nt
Organism: Felis catus (domestic cat)
Lineage: Eukaryota; Metazoa; Chordata; Mammalia; Carnivora; Felidae
Exons: 3
Source: RefSeq, a predicted model, not a curated record